Molecule: ribosomal RNA, 438 nt
Filed under: Clavibacter sepedonicus
Lineage: Bacteria; Bacillati; Actinomycetota; Actinomycetes; Micrococcales; Microbacteriaceae
Also listed under: 1 other name
Description: bacterial SSU rRNA
Rfam family: Bacterial small subunit ribosomal RNA
Source: RNAcentral
GGCUCAGGACGAACGCUGGCGGCGUGCUUAACACAUGCAAGUCGAACGGUGAUGUCAGAGCUUGCUCUGGCGGAUCAGUGGCGAACGGGUGAGUAACACGUGAGUAACCUGCCCCCGACUCUGGGAUAACUGCUAGAAAUGGUAGCUAAUACCGGAUAUGACGAUUGGCCGCAUGGUCUGGUCGUGGAAAGAAUUUCGGUUGGGGAUGGACUCGCGGCCUAUCAGGUUGUUGGUGAGGUAAUGGCUCACCAAGCCUACGACGGGUAGCCGGCCUGAGAGGGUGACCGGCCACACUGGGACUGAGACACGGCCCAGACUCCUACGGGAGGCAGCAGUGGGGAAUAUUGCACAAUGGGCGAAAGCCUGAUGCAGCAACGCCGCGUGAGGGAUGACGGCCUUCGGGUUGUAAACCUCUUUUAGUAGGGAAGAAGCGAAAGU